This 208-nucleotide ribosomal RNA is filed under the name uncultured bacterium. RNAcentral describes it as "partial 16S ribosomal RNA". It matches the Rfam family "Bacterial small subunit ribosomal RNA", at positions 568 to 774 of the family's 1533-position model. The record is from RNAcentral.
CGCGUAGGCGGUUCGACAAGUUGGAUGUGAAAGCCCUGGGCUCAACCCGGGAAUUGCAUUCAAUACUGUCUUACUAGAAUUCGGUAGAGGUUGGUAGAAUUCCCAGUGUAGAGGUGAAAUUCGUAGAGAUUGGGAAGAAUACCCGUGGCGAAGGCGGCCAACUGGACCGACAUUGACGCUGAGGCGCGAAAGCGUGGGGUAGAAAACA